CUGCUAGUAUGUUAUUAGAAAGGUGUGCCACUUGUUUUUCUUUCUAUUUCCUAAUGCAACUAGCCAAUCUUGUUAUCAAUAUGUGAUACCAAUUCUUUAAAGUGUUUUCUCAAAGGGGGCUUGAUUGUAAGUGUGUGGAGCAAUAUAGGUUGUUUUGAGAUUCAAUACUUCUCUUCAUUCGUUUCAGGGGUUAAAGUGUUACUCACACACUUUUUGAAAACUUUUGGUUGGUUGAGAAUCAAAGUGAGUAUAGAAUCUUCUUGGAAUUGUUACGAGACUCGAAGUGACAUUUAAACAUUUUUUUUUUUUGCUGUUUCAAGUGUUAAAGUGUUGCUUUGAAACUUUUUACGUUUGUUUUAAGAGCUUUAUAUUGAUACUGUCAUCACUGCUUUAUAUUCUAAGUGGUUUGAUCAUGCUGUGGUUGCUUAAUGUGUUGAUACUUUAAAUAGCUAGGUUGUUGGAUGGAUUUGGGAUAGGUCUAGCUUGUUGUCACUCUUGUUCAUAUUUAUAUUUCAGAAACUGCCACAUCAGAAAUAAGAGGCUUCAGGCCAAAAAGGUUCCCCAGAGACUCCGUGACAUAAAGGAUGUUUUAGAUUGAUACAAGAAAACCAUACUCACAGGCGGAGUUAGAUGAGGUGCGGGUUGAGUUGGUUGAGUUUUUGGGUUCGUACAUAUGAUUUAGGAUUUAUUUGUCAUCUCUGAAAUAGGAAACUUUAUUUUUUGUGGUUGAUUUUUUGAAAUGUUUAUAUGGAGGGGGAGAGGGAGAGGUGGGGAUUGAUUGAUAUACUUUUGGGACUUUGUUGAGGUUUAGAGUUUAGGUGAGUUGUUGAUAGGUACUGUUCAUAUGUAUUGGUUUUGUAAAUGAUAUAUGAAUAUGAUGCAAAGUUUUGGAAAUGAUAUGAAUGAAUGAUGUUUAGUUGUCA
Long non-coding RNA from Cucumis melo (muskmelon), 923 nucleotides. RefSeq lists it as uncharacterized. The transcript is spliced from 2 exons. Lineage: Eukaryota; Viridiplantae; Streptophyta; Magnoliopsida; Cucurbitales; Cucurbitaceae. The record is from RefSeq and is a predicted model, not a curated record.